RNAcentral lists this long non-coding RNA (321 nucleotides) under Trifolium pratense (red clover). RNAcentral's name for it is "long non-coding RNA (TPRA_LNC002817)". Lineage: Eukaryota; Viridiplantae; Streptophyta; Magnoliopsida; Fabales; Fabaceae. The record is from RNAcentral.
GUAUAAUGAUAAAUACUAAUAGAAGUGGUUCAAGAUUUAACAUUGAACAAAUAUCUAAAUGAAUCUAUUAAAGUCAAAGGAUGAUAGAUGAACAACAUUAUUGAGAUGAACUACCAUUUCUAGAGUUCACAAGACUCACACACUUUGAUUCCACACAAGACAAAAACUUAGGUUAAAAAUAGAGAAAAGAAAAAAAAAAGGAAUAUUGACACUCAAAGUACCCUAAAAAAGAAUAACUUUUGUUUUGUCCAUCACUAAACAAUUUUACAGUACAAAGAAACCAAUAACUGAAUGAAUGACGCCCCCUGACAACUAUUCACG